Molecule: long non-coding RNA, 1385 nt
Filed under: Calidris pugnax (ruff)
Lineage: Eukaryota; Metazoa; Chordata; Aves; Charadriiformes; Scolopacidae
Description: lncRNA (ENSCPUG00000001125.1)
Source: RNAcentral
CCUCCCGGUGACACCUGCCUCCAUGGGGCGGGGCUAUGGAGCCGGUGGGUGUGGCUUCUACCCGGGGGGCGGGGCUUAGAGAACAGCUGGGGCGUGGUUGGGUGAUGCUCUAUGAGGGGGCGUGGCUUAUUUGGAGGGGGCGGGGCCUAGAGGCCAGGCCCCCAGUGCUGCGGGGGUGGGGGGGGGUAUGUGUUAUCCAUGCCCCGCCCCUUCUGGGGUGUGUGGGCGGGGCCUGAGGAGCCACGUGGCCCCUUCCCGCCCCCCCGCAGGCGGCCAUGGAGUCCCCAGGGCGUCACCCGGGCGGCGACGAGGAGGAGGAGGAGGAGGAGGAGGAAGAAGAGGAGGAGGCCGAGGCCGUGGUGUCCCCGCGUCGCCCCGAGGAGGUGACGGUGGCCACGGCGUCCCCGUGUCACCCCGAGGAGGAGGAGGAGGUCACAUCUCACCUGGAGGAGAAGGAGGCCAUGAGGUCCCCGUGUCACCCCGAGGAGAAGGUGGAGGCCGUGGCGUCCCCGCGUCACUCCAAGGAGGAGGCCACCGUGUCUCCGUGUCACCCUGAGGAGGAGGAGGAGGCCCCGUGUCACCCCAAGGAGGAAGAGGAGGAGGAGGAGGAGGCCGCACAUCACCCCAAGGAGGAGAAAGAGGCCACAUCCCAUCUUGAGGAGAAGGUGGAGGCCACGGUGUCCCCACGUCACCCCAAGGAGGAGGAGAAGGAGACCACAUCUCACCUCGAGGAGAAGGUGGAGGCCACGGCGUCCCCACGUCACCCCAAGGAGGAGGAGGAGGAGGUCACGUCUCAUCUUGAGGAGAAGGUGGAGGCCACGAUGUCCCCGUGUCACUCUGAGGAGAAGGUGGAGGCCACGGUGUCCCCACGUCACCCCAAGGAGGAAGAGGAGGAGGAGGCGACUGCAUGUCACCCCAAGGAGGAGAAAGAGGCCACGUCUCACCUCGAGGAGAAGGAGGAGGCCACGUCUCACCGUGAGGAGAAGAAGGUGGAGGCCACGUCUCACCCUGAGGAGAAGGAGGAGGCCACAUCUCACCUCGAGGAGAAGGUGGAGGCCACAUCUCACCCUGAGGAGAAGGUGGAGGCCACAUCUCACCUCGAGGAGAAGGCGGAGGCCACGUCUCACCUUGAGGAGAAGGUGGAGGCCACGUCUCACCGUGAGGAGGAGGAGGCCACGUCUCACCUUGAGGAGAAGGUGGAGGCCACGUCUCACCGUGAGGAGAAGGUGGAGGCCAUGUCUCACCCCGAGGAGAAGGUGGAGGCCACGUCUCACCCCGAGGAGAAGGUGGAGGCCGCGGCGUCCCCGCGCCGCCCCGAGGAGGAGGAUGAUGAUGAUGAGGAGGAGGCGGUGGCGGUGGCCGGGUGGCCGCGGGGCGGUGGGGCG